CUGUGCGCCAGGCGGCUCUCUCUCCUCGGCAGCGGCAGGUAGGGAGGCGAGCCCAGACAGCGGGGAAGGGGAGUGGGGACUAGAGGACCGGGGAUAGUCACUGACAGCAGCAGUUACGUUCAGAUUAACAGAACUGGGUGAUUUUCGAUGAGUGGCUGGACAAGAUUUUUAAUAAGAAACCCUGUCGUCGGCUACGGUUCAUGACCAUCCUUAGGUUUUCCUCUGAGCUCUCUAGUCACGGACACGAAUACUGGAUAUAAUUGUGGAACCACCACGACGUUGAUGAACAGGACAUUCUUCCUACCAACUCCCUCGUCCUGUCCCCCUCCCAGACGUUGAUGAACAGGACAUUCUUCCUACCAACUCCCUCGUCCUGUCCCCC
This is a long non-coding RNA of Oncorhynchus tshawytscha (Chinook salmon), 382 nucleotides long. The record is from Ensembl. NCBI's taxonomy places the organism in Eukaryota, Metazoa, Chordata, Actinopteri, Salmoniformes, Salmonidae.